Molecule: transfer RNA, 80 nt
Filed under: Erinaceus europaeus (western European hedgehog)
Lineage: Eukaryota; Metazoa; Chordata; Mammalia; Eulipotyphla; Erinaceidae
Rfam family: tRNA
About the family: Transfer RNA (tRNA) molecules are approximately 80 nucleotides in length. Their secondary structure includes four short double-helical elements and three loops (D, anti-codon, and T loops). Further hydrogen bonds mediate the characteristic L-shaped molecular structure. tRNAs have two regions of fundamental functional importance: the anti-codon, which is responsible for specific mRNA codon recognition, and the 3' end, to which the tRNAs corresponding amino acid is attached (by aminoacyl-tRNA synthetases). tRNAs cope with the degeneracy of the genetic code in two manners: having more than one tRNA (with a specific anti-codon) for a particular amino acid; and 'wobble' base-pairing, i.e. permitting non-standard base-pairing at the 3rd anti-codon position.
Source: Rfam by way of RNAcentral
GAGGAAAUAGCAUAGUGGUUAUGCAAAAGAAUUUCAUGCCUGAGACUCCAAAGUCCCAGGUUCAAUUCCUGGUACCAUCA